Non-coding RNA from Danio rerio (zebrafish), 1184 nucleotides. Lineage: Eukaryota; Metazoa; Chordata; Actinopteri; Cypriniformes; Danionidae. The record is from RefSeq and is a predicted model, not a curated record.
UUAAGAGUGGGGUUAGGUGAGCACAUUAAAAAGCAUUGAUGCAGCUCAGAUUGCACUGCACCAGUUCUGCAUUCAGACCCCUCUCACCCUGCAGGGCACCGGAUCUUCAGUAACGAGAUUGGUAAUCCUUGCACAUGAUGUUCAUAUCUUUAAAUAUUAUUUGAAAAUGUUAAUACAUUUUUAAAUAAUAGUUUAAGAUUUGAACAUAUAAUAACAUUAGUAAAUGUUACAUUAGUAAAAACAAAAGUUUACUAAUCCCAUUAGCCUAUUAGUUCCUCAUCACUACAGCAAGAGUGCUCUUAGGAUUUUGUUAAUGUGGUGGCAUGGGACAGAGGAACUAAUAGGCUCAUGGGAUUAGUAAACAUUUUAUAUUUAAUAGCCAUUUGAUCCUUAAUCAAAUGCUAAGUUUUAUCUUCAUCAUAAUCUACACUACUACACCAUAAAGCAUCUAAGAAACCUGUUUUGAUAUAUUUGCAUUAAAAUUAUGGUUUGUUUAUCUAGAUUCUUUUGGUAAAUUUGUGAACAAAAGUUAUUGAUGAUUGAAGUCAACAGAUAAUGCCAAAAAUAAAAAAUAAAAAUGUCAAGCAACCUCUCAGAUAUCAAUCAAAAUUUGCAAUAUUCCAUCUAGAUAACUUAACUGAAUGUUUUGUCUGGUUUUGUGUGGAUUUAGAUGAACAUUUAUGUUAAUGCUGAUGUUGAUUCUCAUUAGAUUUGCCAGCUGUCACUACUUGGUGGACUCAACUUGCAGGACACUGUGAGACGCAUGUUAAGCCAUGUUUUAACAAACAGGUUGGCAUCCCAUUUUAAUUGGGCUGGACGUGGAAAGAAAAGGAGCUUUGAAGCCUCAAAUUUGCAAAAGACAAUGUUCCGUGCAUUAAGAAAUACUUCCCAGGGGAAAGAAGCAUCAAAAACAGACUUUAGCGAAGUAGUAAAAAAAUGGUUACGUUACGCUCCAGACAGAGAUGGUGGCAGUGGACGACAAUAAGUUCCAAAAUGAGAUCUUGCUAAUCAGUUUGUUUUGUUUUGUUGUGUUGACUGUUGACAGUUUCAUCUAAUUUUCAAAAUUUUUAAAUGACAUUAAAUUUAAGAAAAUUUUUAAAUAAAAAAGUGUAUUAGCAUCUUAUUGUCAAUAAAGGUGUAAGUCUUUUAGGUGUUCAGUUUUAAACAUAAUAAAAUUAAUAAUA